RNAcentral lists this ribosomal RNA (1346 nucleotides) under uncultured bacterium. RNAcentral's name for it is "partial 16S ribosomal RNA". It matches the Rfam family "Bacterial small subunit ribosomal RNA", at positions 28 to 1381 of the family's 1533-position model. The record is from RNAcentral.
GACGAACGCUGUCGGCGUGCUUAACACAUGCAAGUCGAACGGAAAGGCCCUGCUUUUGUGGGGUGCUCGAGUGGCGAACGGGUGAGUAACACGUGAGUAACCUGCCCUUGACUUUGGGAUAACUUCAGGAAACUGGGGCUAAUACCGGAUAGGAGCUCCUGCUGCAUGGUGGGGGUUGGAAAGUUUCGGCGGUUGGGGAUGGACUCGCGGCUUAUCAGCUUGUUGGUGGGGUAGUGGCUUACCAAGGCUUUGACGGGUAGCCGGCCUGAGAGGGUGACCGGCCACAUUGGGACUGAGAUACGGCCCAGACUCCUACGGGAGGCAGCAGUGGGGAAUAUUGCACAAUGGGCGGAAGCCUGAUGCAGCAACGCCGCGUGCGGGAUGACGGCCUUCGGGUUGUAAACCGCUUUCGCCUGUGACGAAGCGUGAGUGACGGUAAUGGGUAAAGAAGCACCGGCUAACUACGUGCCAGCAGCCGCGGUGAUACGUAGGGUGCGAGCGUUGUCCGGAUUUAUUGGGCGUAAAGGGCUCGUAGGUGGUUGAUCGCGUCGGAAGUGUAAUCUUGGGGCUUAACCCUGAGCGUGCUUUCGAUACGGGUUGACUUGAGGAAGGUAGGGGAGAAUGGAAUUCCGGGUGGAGCGGUGGAAUGCGCAGAUAUCAGGAGGAACACCAGUGGCGAAGGCGGUUCUCUGGGCCUUUCCUGACGCUGAGGAGCGAAAGCGUGGGGAGCGAACAGGCUUAGAUACCCUGGUAGUCCACGCUGUAAACGGUGGGUACUAGGUGUGGGGUCCAUUCCACGGGUUCCGUGCCGUAGCUAACGCUUUAAGUACCCCGCCUGGGGAGUACGGCCGCAAGGCUAAAACUCAAAGGAAUUGACGGGGCCCCGCACAAGCGGCGGAGCAUGCGGAUUAAUUCGAUGCAACGCGUAGAACCUUACCUGGGUUUGACAUGGAUCGGGAGUGCUCAGAGAUGGGUGUGCCUCUUUUGGGGUCGGUUCACAGGUGGUGCAUGCCUGUCGUCAGCUCGUGUCGUGAGAUGUUGGGUUAAGUCCCGCAACGAGCGCAACCCUUGUUCACUGUUGCCAGCACGUUAUGGUGGGGACUCAGUGGAGACCGCCGGGGUCAACUCGGAGGAAGGUGGGGAUGACGUCAAGUCAUCAUGCCCCUUAUGUCCAGGGCUUCACGCAUGCUACAAUGGCUGGUACAGAGAGUGGCGAGCCUGUGAGGGUGAGCGAAUCUCGGAAAGCCGGUCUCAGUUCGGAUUGGGGUCUGCAACUCGACCUCAUGAAGUCGGAGUCGCUAGUAAUCGCAGAUCAGCAACGCUGCGGUGAAUACGUUCCCGGGGCU